This 1634-nucleotide long non-coding RNA is filed under the name Macaca fascicularis (crab-eating macaque). RNAcentral's name for it is "lncRNA (ENSMFAG00000049544.1)". Lineage: Eukaryota; Metazoa; Chordata; Mammalia; Primates; Cercopithecidae. The record is from RNAcentral.
CAGGCUGCCCCAUUGUUCUCUUUCAUCAAUAGGUCCCAAACCCAGGAGAUUCUCUCCUGAGAAAUGGGCCCUGGAUCCCCACUUCCUCCAGAUCCACCCAGCUGCGCGCACUUGCUGUGGAUUCUCCUGGAGUUGACACCCACUGCCACCUUCAUCUUCCUUGGAGAACAAUCAUGCCAGGAAGGUCACAGGAGCUGGAGCCAAAAUCCCAGCUCUGACAUGACAUUUCUCUAACCUGUUUCUCAUCUGUAAAAUGGAGACAAUCUCACAGAGCCGUGGUUCCAAUGAAAGACAUUGUGGGAGAGCAAACCCACAGUGUGGAAUGAAUGGGAGACUUCCCUAGAAAAGAGGUCUAGGUAUCAGCUCACCUCUGUUUAUUCUCUUUGUAACCCAGAACAAGGGCUGAAACCUUCAGGCCUCAGUUUUCCCAUCUGUGAAGUGAUCACCUCAGCACCUGCCUCACUCGAGGGUGGUGUGGAUUAAACCUAAUGCUACACGUAAAUGUCUCUGAAUUUUUCCUGGGAGAAACCCCCCAGACCAUGUAUGUUAUUCUAAUUUCCAAUUCUUCUUCAUCUGAACUCCUCACCCCAGCAUCAAACGUCUACCAUACUUUAAAUUCUUUCUUCCCUGGCCCUGUCUCUCAACACAGCAAGCAUUUCAACACCCAUGCAUUCAUUUGACAAAUAUUCACACUUUGCCUCUCCUCUGACUGCAUGACUUGGUGCUCCGUGGCACAGAGCGCUGUGGGUAGUGACUUCUGCACUGGGCCUGUGAUAGGAGGGGUCUGGGCAUCAAACACAGCACCACGAAUCCCUCGGUGGUGUCUUCUCCUUCCAGGCUUGGCUGAAAGGUAGCCUCAGCCCUGACCUGUCCCUCCACAGCCCCGGGAGGAGACACCAGUCCUUUUUCACUUCCAAGGUUUGCUACUAAUGUCUAUAGGCAAAUAGGGGUUUAUAAAAACUCCAAAGGCUCCUCACUCCCAUUUUGAUCUUAGAGCUGCAAUUAGGGGCUGCAGCUCUGAUCUUCUUAGGAUGGCUCCUAGAAUGUCACUGGCGGGGCCCAAGUCACCUCCUACAUUCCGCAUUGUUGGGUUGGGGGGAGUUCGCCAGAGCUCCUGAUGCACCCACUUCUCCGAGAGGCAACUGAGGAGUGAAUACAGCAUCACAGCAGGUUCACCAUGAGCCACCUGUUUCUAAACAAUCCAUUUGGCUGACCCCCUGGACAUCCACACUCAGCCAAGAGCACACUGAUGAAUGUCUUACAUGGCUCAUGACCUCUAUGAAUGAGUCUGUGCUGGGAAAACUGGAUAUUCAAAUGCAGAAUGACAUUAGACCCCCACCUCUCUCCAUAUACAAAAAUCAACUGAAAAUGGAAGACUUAUAUAAAUGUAAGAACUGAAAUAAUAAAACUACUAGAAGAAAACAUAGGAAAAUACUUCAGGACAUUGGUCUAGGAAAUGAUAGGAAUAAGACCUCAAAGGCACAAGCAACAAAAACAAAAAUAAACAAAUGAGUUUAUUUCAAACUAAAAAGCUUCUGCCCAGCAAAGGAACCAAUCAACAGAGUGAAAAUACAACCUACAGAAUGGGAGAAAACAUUUGCAAACUACUCAUUCAACUGAGGAUUAAUAGCCAA